GAUGAACGCUAGCUACAGGCUUAACACAUGCAAGUCGAGGGGAAACGGCAUCGAAAGCUUGCUUUUGAUGGGCGUCGACCGGCGCACGGGUGAGUAACGCGUAUCCAACCUGCCCAUCACUUGGGAAUAACCUUGCGAAAGUAAGACUAAUGCCCAAUGACAUCCCACGAAGGCAUCCGAAUGGGAUUAAAGAUUUAUCGGUGAUGGAUGGGGAUGCGUCUGAUUAGCUUGUUGGCGGGGUGACGGCCCACCAAGGCAACGAUCAGUAGGGGUUCUGAGAGGAAGGUCCCCCACAUUGGAACUGAGCCACGGUCCAAACGCCUACGGGAAGCAGCAGUGUGAAAUAUUGGUCAAUGGGCGAGAGCCUGAACCAGCCAAGUAGCGUGCAGGAUGACGGCCCUAGGGGUUGUAAACUGCUUUUAGAAGGGAAUAAAGUGGGUCACGUGUGACUUUUUGCAUGUACCUUAUGAAUAAGGACCGGCUAAUUCCGUG
Molecule: ribosomal RNA, 492 nt
Filed under: uncultured bacterium
Lineage: Bacteria
Description: partial 16S ribosomal RNA
Rfam family: Bacterial small subunit ribosomal RNA
Source: RNAcentral